This 497-nucleotide antisense RNA is filed under the name Kitasatospora cheerisanensis KCTC 2395. RNAcentral describes it as "Saccharopolyspora sRNA 350". It matches the Rfam family "Saccharopolyspora sRNA 350". Lineage: Bacteria; Bacillati; Actinomycetota; Actinomycetes; Kitasatosporales; Streptomycetaceae. The record is from Rfam by way of RNAcentral.
UUCACGGUGUACGGCCAGCGCCCGUCGGGGACGUUCAGCGCCUCGUCGCCGAUGUGGUCGCCGUCGGCGUGCACGGCGAGCACGGUGUCGUCGCCGUACUUGCCGGUGCCGAUCCGCUCGACCUUGCCGUGCGCGAUCAGGUAGACCUCGGUGAUCGGGGCGCCCUCCUGGAUCAGCACCUCGCCGGCGUGGAAGUCGCGCUGCACGAAGCGCGCGGCGAGCUGCUCCAGCACCACGCCGUCGUCGAAGCCGCGCAGCACCGGGACCUCGCGCAGGGUGGGCGCCGCCACCUUGACCUCCCGGCCGGUCUGCACGAAGGACACCCGGCCGCGGCCGACCGCGUAGGAGAGCCGCCGGUUGACCCGGUAGGUGCCGGCCGAGACGUGCACCCAGGGCAGCUUGCGCAGCAGCCAGCGCGAGCUGAUCUCCUGCAUCUGCGGCCUGGACUUGGUGGUGGUGGCCAGGUUGCGCGCCGCUGCGGUGCUGAGGCUCUGCUG